CAUGUACUCCCUCCGUCCGAAAUUACAUGUCGCAUAAAUGGAUGAAAAUGAAUGUAUCUAGAAUUAAAAUACAUCUAGAUACAUUUAUUUCUCCGAUAAGUAUUUCCGGACGGAGGGAGUACUUG
Molecule: non-coding RNA, 125 nt
Organism: Triticum aestivum (bread wheat)
Lineage: Eukaryota; Viridiplantae; Streptophyta; Magnoliopsida; Poales; Poaceae
Source: Rfam